Molecule: ribosomal RNA, 442 nt
Filed under: uncultured bacterium
Lineage: Bacteria
Description: bacterial SSU rRNA
Rfam family: Bacterial small subunit ribosomal RNA
Source: RNAcentral
AACGCGAAGAACCUUACCUGGACUCGAAAUUUUGUCGACCGUCUCAGAGAUGAGACUUUCCCGCAAGGGACGGCAGAAUAGGUGCUGCAUGGCUGUCGUCAGCUCGUGUCGUGAGAUGUUGGGUUAAGUCCCGCAACGAGCGCAACCCUUACCCUUAGUUGCUCAUCCGAAAGGAAAGCACCCUAAGGGAACUGCCUGGGAUAACCAGGAGGAAGGUGGGGAUGACGUCAAGUCCUCAUGGCCUUUAUGCCCAGGGCUACACACGUGCUACAAUGGCCGGUACAAAACGUCGCAAACCCGCGAGGGGGAGCCAAUCGCUAAAAACCGGUCUCAGUUCGGAUUGCAGUCUGCAACUCGGCUGCAUGAAGCUGGAAUCGCUAGUAAUCGCGUAUCAGAACGACGCGGUGAAUACGUUCCCGGGCCUUGUACACACCGAGACGAC